GAUCAUUACAGAAUGUCAAUCAUUCUCACCCUUGUGUAUCAAUCUUGUUGCUUUGGCGUGUCUCGACACGCCAGAGACGUCUUCAAACUCGUCUAAUCGUAUUUCUGAACUAAACAAAACAAAACAAAACUUUCAACAACGGAUCUCUUGGUUCUGGCAUCGAUGAAGAACGCAGCGAAAUGCGAUAAGUAAUGUGAAUUGCAGAAUUCAGUGAAUCAUCGAAUCUUUGAACGCACAUUGCGCUCUCCAGUGUUCUGGAGAGCAUGCCUGUUCGAGCGUCAUUAAAACCCUCAAGCUCAGCUUGAUGUUGAACGUGAUCUUAUGAUCUGUUCGAAACACCUUUGGCGUGACAGACCAGCUUCAAGCGUAGCAAGAAAACUCGCUUCGUCGUUUGUCUGGUGUUGCCAGUUAAGAUCUCACUUAACCUUUGACCUCGAAUCAGGUAGGGCUACCCGCUGAACUUAAGCAUAUCAAUAAGCGGAGGAAAAGAAACCAACAGGGAUUGCCUCAGUAACGGCGAGUGAAGCGGCAACAGCUCAAAUUUGAAAUCUCUCCGGAGAGUUGUAAUUUGCAGAGGCAGCUUUGGAUAUGCGUUGGCCAAAGUUCUUUGGAACAGGACAUCACAGAGGGUGAGAAUCCCGUUUGUGGCCAAAGGCGGAUCCGUGUAAAGCUCCUUCGACGAGUCGAGUUGUUUGGGAAUGCAGCUCUAAAUGGGAGGUAUAUUUCUUCUAAAGCUAAAUAUUGGCCAGAGACCGAUAGCGCACAAGUAGAGUGAUCGAAAGAUGAAAAGCACUUUGGAAAGAGGGUUAAAAAGUACGUGAAAUUGUUGAAAGGGAAGCGUUUGCGGCCAGACUUGAUCGUGGUGGCUCAGCCGGUCUCUGCCCGGUGCACUCCUCCACGUCAGGCCAGCAUCAGUUUGAGGGGUCGGAUAAAGGCAUCGGGAACGUGGCUCCUCGGAGUGUUAUAGCCCCUUGCACAAUACGGCCUCCCCAGA
RNAcentral lists this ribosomal RNA (994 nucleotides) under uncultured fungus. Its description in RNAcentral is "eukaryotic LSU rRNA". The stretch from base 429 to 994 matches the Rfam family "Eukaryotic large subunit ribosomal RNA", at positions 1 to 584 of the family's 3401-position model. The record is from RNAcentral. Lineage: Eukaryota; Fungi.